UCACUAAUCAAGCCCGGCUUGCUGUUGGACCCAUUUUUGUCGUGAAAAACGACAGGUCCAAAAGAUAAUGACGGUGUUAUUUGGACCCUAGAUGCAACGAGCUUUUAUUAGCACGCGUUUAGUAGGACCUUUUAACCCGGUCUCUUUAACCAUUUUUCUAA
This 161-nucleotide unclassified non-coding RNA is filed under the name uncultured Cladophialophora. RNAcentral's name for it is "sequence contains ITS2". The record is from RNAcentral. Lineage: Eukaryota; Fungi; Ascomycota; Eurotiomycetes; Chaetothyriales; Herpotrichiellaceae.